UACGAAGGGGGCUAGCGUUGCUCGGAAUCACUGGGCGUAAAGGGUGCGUAGGCGGGUUUUUAAGUCAGGGGUGAAAUCCUGGAGCUCAACUCCAGAACUGCCUUUGAUACUGAAGAUCUUGAGUCCGGGAGAGAUGAGUGGAACUGCGAGUGUAGAGGUGAAAUUCGUAGAUAUUCGCAAGAACACCAGUGGCGAAGGCGGCUCACUGGCCCGGUACUGACGCUGAGGCACGAAAGCGUGGGGAGCAAACAGG
This 253-nucleotide ribosomal RNA is filed under the name uncultured bacterium. RNAcentral describes it as "partial 16S ribosomal RNA". It matches the Rfam family "Bacterial small subunit ribosomal RNA", at positions 524 to 776 of the family's 1533-position model. The record is from RNAcentral.